This is a long non-coding RNA of Ictalurus furcatus (blue catfish), 4813 nucleotides long. RefSeq lists it as uncharacterized. The transcript is spliced from 6 exons. Lineage: Eukaryota; Metazoa; Chordata; Actinopteri; Siluriformes; Ictaluridae. The record is from RefSeq and is a predicted model, not a curated record.
UUGAACGGUCUUUCGCAGUGAUGUUUGUUGGGAAUCAGAAUCAGAUUUAUUGUCAAGUACGGUGGGUUUACAUGUACAAGGAAUUUGUCUCGGUGUACUGGUGCUUAACAAUAACAGUACAUACAAGAAAUAAUAUAAUAUUAAAAAGAGAGAGUUAGGAAGUUAUGUUUUGGAAGGUUUAGGAAAAUAAAAAUAAAGACAUUAACUGUACAUUAGUACAGUAUGUGUUGAACACAGCAGUCUGAGUUGUGUGUUAAUGUAACGCAUAUGAAACAACAAUGUGGGGUUGUUCGUUAAUGUGAUGUGUAAAUGUUCAUGGAGGUGGAUAAGAGACCAUGGUGGGUCUUCAGUGUUGUUAAUGAGGCCAGUUGUCGAUGGGAAAAAACUGUUUUUGUGGCGUGGGUUUUUGGACUUGAUGGACCGCAGCCUCCUCCCAGAGGGGAGUGCCUGGAAAAGUUUGUGUCCAGCAUGAGAGGGGUCAGCCAUAAUCAUGACUGCCCACUUCAGGGUCCUGCAAGUGUACAGGUAAUGAAGGGGUGGCAGAUUGCAGCCAAUCACCUUCUCAGCAGAGCGAAUGACAUGCUGCAGUCUGUCCUUGUCCUUGGCAGUGGCAGCAGUGUACUAGAUGGUGAUGGAGGAGGUGAGUAUGGACUCACCAUACUCAUGAUGGAGGUGUAGAAGUGCACCAUAAUGUCUUUGGUAGGUUGAACUUCUUCAGUUGCCACAGGAAGUACACUCUCUGAUUUUUUUAAUGAGAGACCUGAUGUUCAGCUCCCACUUGAGGUCCUGGUGAUGAUAGUUCCCAGGAAGCAGAAGGAGUGCACAGUAUCGACUGGGGAGUCACACAGGAUGAUGGGGACAGGUGGGACUGGGUUGUUCCUGUUUAAAAAGUUUAAAAUUUAGGAGGUAUGCAUAUUGUCUUUCAGUCAUUCCAUGACACACUGUAAGUGAAACGCUAGAGUGGCUAUAAAAUAGAAACCGAAUCAGUGCACACUGUCCAUCACCAUUAACCAAAAAAUAAGGUUUUUAAGAAAACAAUAAGACUUUAUGAAACAGAUUCUUGCUUGAAUCUAAUGAGAUUUAAUUUGGGUUUUUUUUUUGUUUUUUUUAACAUACUCUCAGUUCAUAAAGUCGGAGCUCAUAGAAAAAUAUGAGUUCUGGUUAUACUUUCAUGUGCAUUCACCUCGUAAUUAUGACAUUUUCAACAGGAAUUGAAGCCACAUUAUGUGAGUGUAGUCAAAAGCAAGCAGGAAGUUGACCCCAAAAAUCUUAAGCUAAGAAAAAUUACAUGCUUUGACUAUUUUUUUUUUUUUAUGAGGUCAUGACAAUUUGUAUAUAUGUGUCAUGACAAAUAUAUACCACACAUGUAUCAUGCAUAUAUGUAUAAGAUGUACUUCUGUAAAGUUAGUUAAAAUCAUACACAGAUGUUUAUAAUUGAAUAAUUUUCAAGCUGUCCAAAAUUCCCAAAUAUGGUUUGAUCAUUUUAGAUAGCAUGGUUCAGGUACAUUGGGGAAAGUCUUAAAAUACAGUUUUAAAAUACAGUACAAGCUGAGAGAGGAAAAGUGAUAUACACUGAUCAGCCACAACAUUAAAACCACCUGCCUAAUAUUGUGUAGGUCCCCCUUUUACUGCCAAAACAUGUCAUGACAAAUAAUAUUCAUGUAUAUAAUGUAUGAAUAAGAUGUACUGCUGUAACAAAAGAAGCAUAAAGUUAAUUCAAAUCAUGUACAGAUGUUUAUAAUCUAAUCAUUUUCAAGCAGUCCCAAAUUCCUAAACAUAGCUCAAUAAUUCUAGACAGCAUGGUUCAGGUACAUUGGGAAUGUCUUAAAAUACAGUAAGUGGAGAGAUAUAAAGUGAAGGGAUAUAAUGUAUUAUUAUUAUCAUCAUCAUCAUCAUCAUCAUUUUUGUGUUAUGUGUUAUGAAAUAAAUGAUAAUGUUACCUUUUAGUGGUCAUUUUUACUUUAUCUGCACACAGUGAAUUGUACUGGUUUCUCCCUACAUGUGACAACAAUCUCCCAAAUUCUUCAUAUCUCUGGGCUUUGGGGUAGGGUGGCAAGACGGAAGCCUUUUAUAACCAAAAAGUACAUAAAAAUACAUCCAAUGUCCCCAAACCAUGUGAAAUAAUGUGUUAUGAUACCUGAUAAGACCAAAAUUCAACUUUUUAGCCUAAAAGUUACAGCUUGUUAUUAUUAAUUGGAAACGGACUCUCUCGUGGCACCACCCACCACGCACGUUCGAACCAAUCAUAUUAUCCUCCCUGGCGUCCGUGGGCGUGGCUAACCGCGUCGGUCUGUUAAAGGUAGCAGGUUGUAUAUGGCGAGCGGUUUACUCACUGAAGGCUGGUGAUUGGUGUAAUGGAAGCCGUCUCUGAACCGCAUUUAAUGACGGAGAACUACAGAAGUGGAGAGAAAACGCAGCACUGAGCAACUUGUAGACUUCAAACCCGACUGUAGAAUCCCUUCUAUUGUGUGCUGGAAGAUCGCUGGACUUGAAGCAACUCCAAAUGGUGGCCUGCUUGUCCAAAGCCCGUGGUGGUGGCAGUGCAUGGCGUGUGUGGGAGCAGGUCUGUUGGGAGUGUUAAGUACCAUCUCAUACACUCAGCAAACAAUAUGGAUGGAACUUUCCAGAGUUGUGGUGUCACUUUCCUGCAAAGCUUUAACCAUCAGAGAGUUAUCUUUUACUGGGGCUUUUAGCUGCAGGAGACUGAAUUACUAACAGUUUUUUUUUUGUGGAUCUGAUUUCUUCUUUCGCAGGAGUGGAUCUAAUCACGGUCUGUGAUAUUCGUCUGUGCACACAGGAUGCCUGGUUUCAGGUGAAGUCGUGUGUUCCCUGAUAGUCAAUGAUUGCUGGAGCUCUGGAAAUAGCAGGUGAGAUUGCAGGCCGGAGUCCCGUCGCUGUCCAGGGAACCAAAAUCAACCUCCUCUACUCCUGAGACCACAGUGUGACUGAGAGCCUAGACUACAUGGCUACUUGGAACAUGAACAUGUUGCAGACACAGGAUCUUAUGAAGUCAGAGCAGACAGCCCUGGAAAAGAAGAGUCCGAAAGACGUGCCCUUCUCCAAGCUUUAAAGGAGAAGAUCCAGGGCUGUUGAAGCUGUGGUGGAACUGAGACUUCAUCAUCCACAUAUCUUUAGUUCUUCUUGCUAAGUCUGAGUUUCUUUUUAGUCUUUUUAUUUUUAGACUGGUCAAAAGACUGAUUAGUGGAAGUGAAAUGAUAGAUGAACUUUUAAUUACUUGCUUUAUUAUUUGCAGGUGCCUUGUACAGUAAGACAGGGUAACUAAUACUCAAAAGCUUGUUUUGUGUGUUAACAUGUACAGUAGAUGUACAUAUUUUUUCUGGUGCUGUGUGACUGCAGAAUGUAGUGCAGUUAACACAGUAAAUUUCCUUGGAUGCUCACUUUUAACUCGAGGAGGUCACAGUUUGCCCAGACAUCUUUUUUUAAAUCUGUCAAUCCGUCACCCACGCGUCAUUCUGGGGGACGAAGAGGAGGAAGCUGGACAGAUACAUUUAUUUAUUUAUUUAUCAUUGCUGUGUUUCCUCAAUCGAGUGCAGAAAGAAGAAAAACAACACAACUGAUUUAAAAUAAAAAUAUAGAAAACAAUCUAAUGUAAGGUUCUGAUCCGGUUUGCUUUCAGCAGGAAGGCUGUCCUCUUUCCUGUUGCUCUUUCUCUUCUAUUAGUCCAUUUGUCCAGUCUGAAUCGGUUUGAUUCGUUUCGAGACGAUUCGGAGUCAAAUCAUUUUCUAGUGAGAGUCGCACACUUCCAAACGAACUAGACUGAGAUGAGUAUUUGAUUCUCACUAGAAAGUUAUUCGACUCUGAAUCAACUUGAAAUGAAUCAGUCAAACUGAUUCAGACUCUAUAAAAGGACUAUGAGAUGUGAUUAAGAUAUAUAUUCCAAUGUUUUGCUUUACAAUUCCACUGUGUGUGUGUGUGUGUGUGUGUGUGUGUGUGUGUGUGUGUGCGCGCACGUGUGUUUUUCAGGAGAACGAGAAACUCUGACACAAGAGUACAUCCUGACCAUUGGUACUGUGUACACAUCAACAUACACACACGUCUCCAUGCUGGACAUCUCAGGAGCUUUCACACACAGUGCUAGGAAUAUCCCGGGACAGAGAAACGCACCUCCUAAGUGAGCGAGUUUAGUGUCAACCGGUGAAAUUUGCUGUAGCGUGAACACUUCGCCUCUAAAUGAUCUUUCGAGGCAGCUUCUUCAUCACUACCUGCUCCGUUUGACUCAAAAAUGUAACGAACGGUUUCAAAAAGUCACGAUGUCUUCAGUUCAUGUGAUUUUACUGUUGAAUUUAAACAGGAAAUGUGAAAUAUUUUUGUUCCUUUGUUUCCUCUACUGUCUUUUUGCUGUGAUCUUGAACACGGUUGUAAUUUUAUUUUUAAAUAAUAAAUAAAUGAUCAUUCUAGUUCUCUCACUUUCCUUGUCCUAAUUGUCCUGUAUCUGUUAAAUCCGUUUCAUCUCUGGUCUUUCUGUCUGUAUGAACACUUGUAGAAAUGACAUGUAGUCCAUAUUUUUAAAUGAUUCAUGAUUUUGAAUUUAAAUAAAGAUAUUCUUUAAUUCUGUAUUUUGUCAUUUAAUUAUCAUUAGAAAUCAGAAGAUCAGAUUAAAGCCAUGGCUUCUUUACCUGCCGAAGCUGUAAAACUUUCAAUAAACCAGUCAAUAGAUCAACUGAAUAAAUGUAGAUUUUUAUUUGCUGAUUAGAUGUAUUGAUGGUGUUGAUAGAUUAUUUGAAGAUUUUUAUUGAUCUUGAACAAUCAUUCAGUUAAAUAUUUUUUUUAAAAACUUGAUAAAUAGUUGAUU